GACGAACGCUGGCGGCGUGCUUAACACAUGCAAGUCGAACGGAGAGGCCCUGCUUUUGUGGGGUGCUCGAGUGGCGAACGGGUGUGUAACACGUGAGUAACCUGCCCUUGACUUUGGGAUAACUUCAGGAAACUGGGGCUAAUACCGGAUAGGAGCUCCUGCUGCAUGGUGGGGGUUGGAAAGUUUCGGCGGUUGGGGAUGGACUCGCGGCUUAUCAGCUUGUUGGUGGGGUAGUGGCUUACCAAGGCUUUGACGGGUAGCCGGCCUGAGAGGGUGACCGGCCACAUUGGGACUGAGAUAGGGCCCAGAGUCCUACGGGAGGCAGCAGUGGGGAAUAUUGCACAAUGGGCGGAAGCCUGAUGCAGCAACGCCGCGUGCGGGAUGACGGCCUUCGGGUUGUAAACCGCUUUCGCCUGUGACGAAGCGUGAGUGACGGUAAUGGGUAAAGAAGCACCGGCUAACUACGUG
This 468-nucleotide ribosomal RNA is filed under the name uncultured bacterium. Its description in RNAcentral is "partial 16S ribosomal RNA". It matches the Rfam family "Bacterial small subunit ribosomal RNA", at positions 28 to 507 of the family's 1533-position model. The record is from RNAcentral.